AUGAGUGAGGAUGGUAAUCUUCAUUCAGUUUUCCCACACUGGAAGUCUUCUGUGUGCCGCUGCUCCUAUAAUGAGGAAGGCAAAGGCAGAACAAGCCCACGGAAACCCCACCGGUUGGCCAAAGCGAGUCCAAGCCCCAUUUGCCAAGACAUUCUGCUGCACCCACUUCCCUGCUGGCAGCCAGAAGAAAAGCCCUGGAGGGACAGUUUUCCUUUGAGCUGGGUGGUAACAGGGUUAUCAGAAAAGCCCCACACCAAAGACUCUAAAUAUGACACUAGAAAUCCUCACAAUGGAGUCAAAACAAAACAGAAAGUGAUCCUGUUCUGGUAACCUUAGCUCUGCUCAGGUCACCCUCUUGCCUGGUUGGUUUUGUUGAUGCAAGCAUAAUCCAACACAGAUUGCAAAGGAUCUCCAGGCCCAGGGAUAGGGGAUUAUAUAACCAACCUGGGGUGGUGUCAGGCUUAUCAGAGGCUGAUAACUAACAAUUCACAGGUACUCAGCUUGGUGUAAAAUACCUGGAGGCAGAAUAAAAC
RNAcentral lists this long non-coding RNA (533 nucleotides) under Chinchilla lanigera (long-tailed chinchilla). RNAcentral describes it as "lncRNA (ENSCLAG00000024065.1)". The record is from RNAcentral. Lineage: Eukaryota; Metazoa; Chordata; Mammalia; Rodentia; Chinchillidae.